CAUUAAGAGCUGCAGGACACCUGACCUCGAGGACCAGGAUUGCCCCCCCCUGCUCUAGAGGACCAGUCCUUCAAAGAGUUGUUGAUGCUGAUGGCUGUGAGCAGGAAGGACCUCCUGUAGCAGUCUGUGUUACAGCCUCUGACUGAAGACACCGUUUUUCUGAUGAAGAGGACGCUCAGAGUUGGUCAUACUCUUUCUUAAUGGACAUUAUUGUGUUUAUGUUUGAAUGUUUCCUAUUUGAUUAAAGUAAUGAUUGUUUUUUUUUCUCAUAUGUAAUUUCAGGUGACAAUUUGAAAGUCGUACAGAAAUGUCGUCUGGCUGAAGAUGUCAGACCUCAAAGCAGAAGCCCAAGAGGAUCAGGUGAACUGAGAUCUAUUCAGAUUCUGAGGAAAAGCCACAGAUCCAGAAAAUCUCCCCUAUGACCAGCAGCCACAGCCUCCCACCUGUCCUCCACCUUCACUCCCACCUGUCCUCCACCUUCACUCCCACCUGUCCUCCACCAGCUGCUCUGUGUUCACCUGUAGCUGUUUAGUCACACCGGUAACUCCACUAACCGAC
Poecilia latipinna (sailfin molly) is the source of this 558-nucleotide long non-coding RNA. RefSeq lists it as uncharacterized. The transcript has 3 exons. The record is from RefSeq and is a predicted model, not a curated record. NCBI's taxonomy places the organism in Eukaryota, Metazoa, Chordata, Actinopteri, Cyprinodontiformes, Poeciliidae.